RNAcentral lists this transfer RNA (75 nucleotides) under Candidatus Parcubacteria bacterium. RNAcentral's name for it is "tRNA-Gly". It matches the Rfam family "tRNA". From Rfam's summary of the family: Transfer RNA (tRNA) molecules are approximately 80 nucleotides in length. The record is from RNAcentral. Lineage: Bacteria; Candidatus Parcubacteria.
GCGGGGGUAGUUCAGCAGCAGAAUAUCUCGUUGCCAACGAGAAGGUCGCGGGUGCGAAUCCCGUCCCCCGCUCCC